UGAAAAAGCAGACAGCAGGGGAUGGCAAAGUGUACAGUAAAAGUUAUUCGAUACCAUCUGUGUAUUUUGUAUCGCGAUGCAAAAGUUGUUGUUAUGUUUUCAAUUACUUAAGUUUGUAUAGUAUAUACGAUAUACUACUAUAAGCUGCAGUGCAUAAUUAAUUCCACGAAUCAAAUGUUGAAAAUGUGACAUGUAGAAAAAUCGUCGUACAAGCGAAGAGAAAAAUUCACAACCAAAUUUCCUGUCCGUCAUCGUCGUCGCCAGAUAGGAAUGCGGUAUAGUAAACGGGUACCUAUAUCUGGAUCUGUCAACAUUGUUGCUAUACGUGGUCGCAACAUCGAACAUCAACAUACCUUUUGGAUAUUUUUGCUGAAAGUGAAACGUAGAAUGGCGGAGUUUCCGAAGCCUCUGGCAGAUCAUCAG
Molecule: long non-coding RNA, 423 nt
Organism: Planococcus citri (citrus mealybug)
Lineage: Eukaryota; Metazoa; Arthropoda; Insecta; Hemiptera; Pseudococcidae
Exons: 5
Source: RefSeq, a predicted model, not a curated record